GGUGGGUAUGUUAAUAGCAUACUCAUUUGACGUUAGCUGCAGAAGAAGCACCGGCUAACUCCGUGCCAGCAGCCGCGGUAAUACGGAGGGUGCGAGCGUUAAUCGGAAUUACUGGGCGUAAAGCGCAUGCAGGUGGUUUGUUAAGUCAGAUGUGAAAAGCCCGGGGCUCAACCUCGGAAUUGCAUUUGAAACUGGCAAACUAGAGUACUGUAGAGGGGGUAGAAUUUCAGGUGUAGCGGUGAAAUGCGUAGAGAUCUGAAGGAAUACCGGUGGCGAAGGCGGCCCCCUCGGACAGAUACUGACACUCAGAUGCGAAAGCGUGGGGAGCAAACAGGAUUAGAUACCCUGGUAG
Molecule: ribosomal RNA, 352 nt
Filed under: uncultured bacterium
Lineage: Bacteria
Description: bacterial SSU rRNA
Rfam family: Bacterial small subunit ribosomal RNA
Source: RNAcentral